ACCGCCUCCUCCAAUGGCGACCUGGCCGAUCUUCUUGCUGAAACCGAGCCUCUCGACCAUCUGUCUGGCCACGCGGGAGACCUGCAUGAAGUCGUUGGAAGCUCCCGUGGUGACCUUCUCCUUCCCGAAGAUGACCUCCUCAGCCACUCUGCAAGCCCCCCCCCCCGGCAAGAACGUUAGAAGCUCCUCUCGGAGAAGAUCCCACGGAGGGUUUUCAGGGAGGGAGAAGCUGAGACCUUCCACCGAGGGCGACGGCCAUCUGGUUCUCCAGGUAGCUCCUGCUGUAGAGUCCCGAUUCCAGUCUCUCCUCACUGGGGGCGAAGAAGGUCAGCCCACCGGCCUGCCCACGAGGAACGAUGGAGAUCUUGGCCACAGGGUCGUACUCCGGCAUGAGGGCCCCCACCAGAGCAUGCC
Molecule: long non-coding RNA, 414 nt
Filed under: Spirodela polyrhiza (greater duckweed)
Lineage: Eukaryota; Viridiplantae; Streptophyta; Magnoliopsida; Alismatales; Araceae
Description: long non-coding RNA (SPOL_LNC000562)
Source: RNAcentral